This 474-nucleotide ribosomal RNA is filed under the name uncultured bacterium. RNAcentral's name for it is "bacterial SSU rRNA". It matches the Rfam family "Bacterial small subunit ribosomal RNA", at positions 15 to 507 of the family's 1533-position model. The record is from RNAcentral.
GAUCAUGGCUCAGAUUGAACGCUGGCGGAAUGCUUUACACAUGCAAGUCGAACGGCAGCACGAGAGCUUGCUCUUGGUGGCGAGUGGCGAACGGGUGAGUAAUAUAUCGGAACGUAUCCAAUAAUGGGGGAUAACUAAUCGAAAGGUUAGCUAAUACCGCAUACGCCCUACGGGGGAAAGCAGGGGAUCUUCGGACCUUGCGUUAAUGGAGCGGCUGAUAUCUGAUUAGGUAGUUGGUAGGGUAAUGGCCUACCAAGCCGACGAUCCAUAGCUGGUUUGAGAGGAUGAUCAGCCACACUGGGACUGAGACACGGCCCAGACUCCUACGGGAGGCAGCAGUGGGGAAUCUUAGACAAUGGGGGAAACCCUGAUCUAGCCAUGCCGCGUGAUCGAUGAAGGCCUUAGGGUUGUAAAGAUCUUUCAGAUGGGAAGAUAAUGACGGUACCAUCAGAAGAAGCCCCGGCUAACUCCGUG